GCGGAGCUAGCUCAACUGGACAGAGCAUCGGCCUUCUAAGCCGAUGGUUGCAGGUUCGAGUCCUGCGCUUCGCGCCA
Molecule: transfer RNA, 77 nt
Filed under: Pseudomonadota bacterium
Lineage: Bacteria; Pseudomonadati; Pseudomonadota
Description: tRNA-Arg
Rfam family: tRNA
About the family: Transfer RNA (tRNA) molecules are approximately 80 nucleotides in length. Their secondary structure includes four short double-helical elements and three loops (D, anti-codon, and T loops).
Source: RNAcentral